Long non-coding RNA from Homo sapiens (human), 494 nucleotides. Ensembl annotates it as MVP divergent transcript. Its record names the gene MVP-DT. The record is from Ensembl. NCBI's taxonomy places the organism in Eukaryota, Metazoa, Chordata, Mammalia, Primates, Hominidae.
GGACAGGGGGGGCGGCCCCCCCCAGAUGGGUCUGCAUGUGGCCGGCCAGCUGGGCAGGGGUCUUGCAGUGCACGCUGCACAGCUUGCACAGGAUGCGGUCAGCCCGCGGGGCCUGGAGCCCGUGGUCCUUCACCGCGUGGAUGCGCAGAACUCAUUCUCCAUGGCCGGGAGACCUCUCCCAGGAUGACGAGACACUGACUCCUAGCCACUUGCAGGGUUGACCCUCAGCAGAGACGGCUGUGUCCCCUUCCCUCCAGUGCCCCGCGGUCUCAACCCAGUUAACCGGAAUCUAGACGCCACGAGCUCUUGGCUACAGCACCCUUAACCCGUAUCCGUGGCAAGGCGUCUGGCCAGGCGCCCACCCUCUGCCCCUGGCCCUCCCGGCAGCCCUCGGCAUGUACCUUUGUUGCAGAGCUCACAGACAUGGUGAGGACCCUGGCUGUGCACCUUCAUGUGGUCCGAAAUAUAAGCCGAGCUCAGCAUCUUGCCACACA